RNAcentral lists this ribosomal RNA (265 nucleotides) under uncultured bacterium. Its description in RNAcentral is "partial 16S ribosomal RNA". It matches the Rfam family "Bacterial small subunit ribosomal RNA", at positions 780 to 1041 of the family's 1533-position model. The record is from RNAcentral.
AGACUACCCUGGUAGUCCACGACCGUAAACGAUGAGUGCUAGAUGUAGGGAGCUAUAAGUUCUCUGUAUCGCAGCUAACGCAAUAAGCACUCCGCCGUGGGAGUACGACCGACGAGGUUAGAACUACGAAAGGUAAUGAGGGGCCCGCACAAGCGGUGGAGCAUGUGGUUUAAUUCGAAGCAACGCGAAGAACCUUACCAGGUCUUGACAUACUCGUGCUAUUCCUAGAGAUAGGAAGUUCCUUCGGGACACGGGAUACAGGUGG